AACGCCAUUGCUUCCAAUACGAGGUGAACACGGUAACCCCGAGGCUCGAAGUAAAACUCAACGCUCCUGUUUGGCCGCUGAGAAAAGAGGGGAAACUAGGGAAUACCUGUAAAUGGAGGAGAAACUCAAGUGUUUGGCGUUGUCAGUAGCUGGAGCUCUUCUCGGUUCCGUUUCAACAGUGGCUCUUCUAAAGUUUCUUCCAGGAAGGGUCCUGAGGCUAGAUGAUAAACAUUCCAUAGAAUUGAAUGGUGAGUUCAGCCAUGGAAAGGACUGAAACCUUAUUCUUUUUUGUUAAAAGGCCCGUUGGAAAUGGGCUGCUGCUUCCAUAUGGGAACAAAACGCACCGUUUCCUUAAACGGUGCGUUUUGGCUGCUGCUCCACCAGAAGAAGAGGUACAAAUACCUCUUCUUCUGCACCAGAAAACCCUUGACCGGAUUUCUCCUUCUCUUCUCUUCUUCUGCGCCGACACACACCAGAAACCCUUGGGUUUCUGCAAUUUCCUUUCUAUUUUACAGAUCCAAAGCUUGAAGCUUGACGUGAAAACACAGCAGCAAAUUUCUUCUUCAAUGGAGUAGAGGUAUUGUAUAUUUAUUUUCAUAUUUUAUCAAAGGAGUCCAUUGUUGUUUAGAAAGCCUAGGGGCUGAAUAUUUUUUCUGGUGUGUAUAAAAGAGAAGAAAGCCAUUUUGUAACUGGAGUAUGAUCAGCUAUUUUGUUUCGAAGGGGCAGAGUGUUUGUAUGUUCAUUAACAUUUAUUUUUGUUUUUUCGGGUGAGAUCUAUGUUUUAACACCUUUUUUUUUGGAUGAAA
Long non-coding RNA from Carica papaya (papaya), 806 nucleotides. RefSeq lists it as uncharacterized. Lineage: Eukaryota; Viridiplantae; Streptophyta; Magnoliopsida; Brassicales; Caricaceae. The record is from RefSeq and is a predicted model, not a curated record.